GCCUGGCUGACUCAGUGAUUAGAGCAUGUGACUCUUAAUUUCAGGGCUGUGAGUUCAAGCCCCACGUUAGGUG
RNAcentral lists this transfer RNA (73 nucleotides) under Canis lupus familiaris (dog). It matches the Rfam family "tRNA". Rfam says of the family: Transfer RNA (tRNA) molecules are approximately 80 nucleotides in length. Their secondary structure includes four short double-helical elements and three loops (D, anti-codon, and T loops). Lineage: Eukaryota; Metazoa; Chordata; Mammalia; Carnivora; Canidae. The record is from Rfam by way of RNAcentral. RNAcentral also lists the same sequence under 1 other name.